Molecule: ribosomal RNA, 305 nt
Filed under: uncultured bacterium
Lineage: Bacteria
Description: bacterial SSU rRNA
Rfam family: Bacterial small subunit ribosomal RNA
Source: RNAcentral
UUCCUACGGGAGGCAGCAGUGGGGAAUAUUGGGCAAUGGGCGCAAGCCUGACCCAGCAAUGCCGCGUGAAGGAGGAAGGCCCUCGGGUUGUAAACUUCUUUUAUCAGCGACGAAGGAUGUGACGGUACCUGAUGAAUAAGCUCCGGCUAACUACGUGCCAGCAGCCGCGGUAAUACGUAGGGAGCGAGCGUUAUCCGGAUUUACUGGGUGUAAAGGUCGCGGAGGCGGGAGGGCAAGUCAGAUGUGAAAUCCAGGGGCUCAACCCCUGAACUGCACUUGAAAUUGUCGUUCUUGAGUACUGGAGU